GGCACAUAGUUCAGUGGUGCAGCACCUGCCUAGUAUGCAUGAAGCUCUGGGUUCAAUCCCCAGUACCA
This 68-nucleotide transfer RNA is filed under the name Marmota monax (woodchuck). RNAcentral describes it as "tRNA.Thr". The stretch from base 6 to 64 matches the Rfam family "tRNA", at positions 7 to 64 of the family's 71-position model. Rfam says of the family: Transfer RNA (tRNA) molecules are approximately 80 nucleotides in length. Their secondary structure includes four short double-helical elements and three loops (D, anti-codon, and T loops). Further hydrogen bonds mediate the characteristic L-shaped molecular structure. tRNAs have two regions of fundamental functional importance: the anti-codon, which is responsible for specific mRNA codon recognition, and the 3' end, to which the tRNAs corresponding amino acid is attached (by aminoacyl-tRNA synthetases). tRNAs cope with the degeneracy of the genetic code in two manners: having more than one tRNA (with a specific anti-codon) for a particular amino acid; and 'wobble' base-pairing, i.e. permitting non-standard base-pairing at the 3rd anti-codon position. The record is from RNAcentral. Lineage: Eukaryota; Metazoa; Chordata; Mammalia; Rodentia; Sciuridae.